Molecule: ribosomal RNA, 378 nt
Filed under: uncultured eukaryote
Lineage: Eukaryota
Description: partial 18S ribosomal RNA
Rfam family: Eukaryotic small subunit ribosomal RNA
Source: RNAcentral
CAAUAGCGUAUAUUUAAGUUGUUGCAGUUAAAAAGCUCGUAGUUGGAUUUCGGGUGGGACGCAGCGGUCUCGCAUUGCGUUUGUACUGCUGCAGCCCUCCUUCUUGCAGGGGGCGGCCUCUCGGACUUCACUGUCUGGGGGUCAGAAUCGGCGAUGUUACUUUGAGUAAAUUAGAGUGUUCAAAGCAAGCUUACGCUCUGAAUAUAAUAGCAUGGGAUAACACGACAGGACUCUGGCCUAUCGUGUUGGUCUAUAGGACCAGAGUAAUGAUUAAGAGGGACAGUCGGGGGCAUUCGUAUUCCGUUGUCAGAGGUGAAAUUCUUGGAUUUACGGAAGACGAACAUCUGCGAAAGCAUUUGCCAAGGAUGUUUUCAUUGA